GGACCAGACUCCUACGGGAGGCAGCAGUGAGGAAUAUUGGUCAAUGGGCGGGAGCCUGGACCAGCCAAGUCGCGUGAGGGACGACGGUCCUAUGGGUUGUAAACCUCUUUUGUCAGGGAGCAAUUGGCGCUACGUGUAGCGUUAUCGAGAGUACCUGAAGAAAAAGCAUCGGCUAACUCCGUGCCAGCAGCCGCGGUAAUACGGAGGAUGCGAGCGUUAUCCGGAUUUAUUGGGUUUAAAGGGUGCGUAGGCGGAAUGCCAAGUCAGCGGUAAAAUCGCGGGGCUCAACCUCGCUCCGCCGUUGAAACUGGCGUUCUUGAGUGGGCGAGAAGUAUGCGGAAUGCGUGGUGUAGCGGUGAAAUGCAUAGAUAUCACGCAGAACUCCGAUUGCGAAGGCAGCAUACCGGCGCCCAACUGACGCUGAAGCACGAAAGCGUGGGUAUCGAACAGGAUUAGAUACCCCUGUAC
This 468-nucleotide ribosomal RNA is filed under the name uncultured bacterium. RNAcentral describes it as "bacterial SSU rRNA". It matches the Rfam family "Bacterial small subunit ribosomal RNA", at positions 328 to 793 of the family's 1533-position model. The record is from RNAcentral.